UGCUAGUGAAGAAGCACUUUCCCCC
Molecule: non-coding RNA, 25 nt
Filed under: Rattus norvegicus (Norway rat)
Lineage: Eukaryota; Metazoa; Chordata; Mammalia; Rodentia; Muridae
Source: RNAcentral